RNAcentral lists this ribosomal RNA (253 nucleotides) under uncultured bacterium. RNAcentral describes it as "partial 16S ribosomal RNA". It matches the Rfam family "Bacterial small subunit ribosomal RNA", at positions 524 to 776 of the family's 1533-position model. The record is from RNAcentral.
UACGUAGGGGGCAAGCGUUGUCCGGAAUCAUUGGGCGUAAAGAGCGCGUAGGCGGCCCUGUAAGUCCGCUGUGAAAGUCAAGGGCUCAACCCUUGGAUGCCGGUGGAUACUGCAGGGCUAGAGUCCGGAAGAGGCGAGUGGAAUUCCUGGUGUAGCGGUGAAAUGCGUAGAUAUCAGGAGGAACACCGGUGGCGAAGGCGGCCCUCUGGACGGUGACUGACGCUGAGACGCGAAAGCGUGGGGAGCAAACAGG